UCUCCGUAGGUGAACCUGCGGAGGGAUCAUUACAGAGUUCAUGCCCUAACGGGUAGAUCUCCCACCCUAUGUUAUCAUCACUUUGUUGCUUUGGCGGGCCGUCAGGCCUCGGCUUGGCUACCGGCUCUCGCUGGUAAGCGCCCGCCAGAGAACCCCAAACCCUGAAUAUCAGUGUCGUCUGAGUACUAUAUAGUAGUUAAAACUUUCAACAACGGAUCUCUUGGUUCUG
Molecule: unclassified non-coding RNA, 229 nt
Filed under: plant metagenome
Description: partial contains small subunit ribosomal RNA, internal transcribed spacer 1, and 5.8S ribosomal RNA
Source: RNAcentral